AUGCUACAAAUACCUUGGAGCCAAAACAGCCACGUUCCUCAAAAUCCGGUCAUUCUGCUGUAUAAAGAGCAUGUCCUCUGCAGUCUCUUCAGUGGACCUUCAGUGACCAGUCUCCUCAGCAUGAAAGAAACAUUCAACACCGGCCUGUUGUUUGCAGCAUCCGAACCUGAGGAGGAACAAGCUCCUUUUCUGCCCUGGCUGGAGUUAAGAAAAUGCA
This 217-nucleotide long non-coding RNA is filed under the name Struthio camelus australis. RNAcentral describes it as "lncRNA (ENSSCUG00000007420.1)". The record is from RNAcentral. Lineage: Eukaryota; Metazoa; Chordata; Aves; Struthioniformes; Struthionidae.